ACGUAUGGUGCAAGCGUUAUCCGGAUUUACUGGGUGUAAAGGGAGCGUAGACGGAAAGGCAAGUCUGGAGUGAAAACCCGGGGCUCAACCCCGGGACUGCUUUGGAAACUGCAAUUCUAGAGUGCCGGAGAGGUAAGCGGAAUUCCUAGUGUAGCGGUGAAAUGCGUAGAUAUUAGGAGGAACACCAGUGGCGAAGGCGGCUUACUGGACGGUGACUGACGUUGAGGCUCGAAAGCGUGGGGAGCAAACAGG
This 252-nucleotide ribosomal RNA is filed under the name uncultured bacterium. Its description in RNAcentral is "partial 16S ribosomal RNA". It matches the Rfam family "Bacterial small subunit ribosomal RNA", at positions 525 to 776 of the family's 1533-position model. The record is from RNAcentral.